CGAGUGGCGGACGGGUGAGUAAUGUCUGGGAAACUGCCCGAUGGAGGGGGAUAACUACUGGAAACGGUAGCUAAUACCGCAUAACGUCGCAAGACCAAAGAGGGGGACCUUCGGGCCUCUUGCCAUCGGAUGUGCCCAGAUGGGAUUAGCUAGUAGGUGGGGUAACGGCUCACCUAGGCGACGAUCCCUAGCUGGUCUGAGAGGAUGACCAGCCACACUGGGACUGAGACACGGUCCAGACUCCUACGGGAGGCAGCAUG
RNAcentral lists this ribosomal RNA (260 nucleotides) under uncultured bacterium. RNAcentral describes it as "partial 16S ribosomal RNA". It matches the Rfam family "Bacterial small subunit ribosomal RNA", at positions 92 to 353 of the family's 1533-position model. The record is from RNAcentral.